UCAGCAGUAGAAAGAAGUAGGCCUAAUUAUUUUAGGUGUAAUCUUCAAAGAUAUUAGGGGGAAAUAAACACUGCACCCAAAUCCACGUUUUACAAUGCUCCUGGGAAAUGGGUAGGCCUCCACCUAUAGUCCUUCACAGUUUUACAGCUGUGAUAUAUUUAUUUAUUUACAUAGAUCACAUACAUAAAUAAAUAUGUUAGCUGUAGGUAGCGUUGAGAUAAAAUUCCCAUAUUCUAUUGCUACUAACAUAAAUCCUAAUAUAUCAUGUUUUCCUCAUUUGCUCUGUAGGAGGUUCGUCAUAUGAAGGACAUUCAAGUGGAUGUGACCCCUAACCUGCAAUAGGGGCUCAGUGAGGUGACAGACAUCCUGUAAUGGAUCUCCAGCUAGUGUCUGAGGACCUGGAGAAGGCUGUGUCUACAGCUGUGGGGCAGGACAAGCAUGGGACAGACAUCCUGAACGACUCUGAUGUCAGAGCUCCCAUCAGCCCUCUACACCUCGCUGAACCUCCGAUGUUGAUGCUGGGCGGGAGCAAAAAUGGGCUCCCGAUUGAAAGACUCUGGUCUACUUUAGAGGUCUAGCACUGUAUUUCUGUUCAGGCGUACCACGGGUCUACUCUAGGACAUUGAUUAUAUUAAGAGUGAAUAUCUAUUCAGGCGUACCACAGUCACCACCAUGCUAUGGAGGUCCUGGUUCAGUCUCUGCUGGAUCUAGACGUGAGGGACAGCCAGGGGCGCACCCCUCUGGACCUGGCUGCCUUAAAAAGAUAUGUGGAGUGUGUUGACGUCCUCAUCAACCAGGAAGCCUCCAUCCUGGUUAAAGACUUCACUCUGAAGAGGACCCCCAUCCACGCUGCAGGUAGACAUAAGGAUAUCACAUAGAGCUUCUGUAAUUAAAACGUUUUCCUGACCAAGAUGGCCAUUUGUUUGGUCAUGUUGCUAGGAUGACAAUGUCCACUCUAGGGAUGUUACAUGGUAUCGUGUGAAAAUGCCCACUAGACACUGAUCUAAGGUCCUUUUUUGUCAUGUUCUCCACUAAUGAUUGAGGAUCUAGGGAGGGUAAGCUGAUCCUAGAUCAGUGCACAGGGGAGACUUCUAUCCAGAGCCAGGUACACAGCUAGCAGGUGACAGGCUUCGAUGGCCUCAGCCCCAAAAUUCAUUAUUAUCUGCUGUGUUAACAUCAUGAGGAUGUCAUCUACCAACACCACUGUUCUUGAAAUCUGUCUGUUCAUGUGAAGGUUAUAGUCAUCCAGCAAUCUGCUCAUAUCCUCUCUGUUUAUCCUCCUCUAGCUACCAAUAGUCAAUCAUCUGACAUUCUUAAAUCCUCUCUGUUUAUCCUCCUCUAGCUACCAAUGGUCAAUCAUCUCACAUUCUUAUAUCUUCUCAGUUUUUCCACCUCUAGCUACUGAAGGUCAAUCAUCUCACAUUCUUAUAUCCUCUCUGUUUAUCUUCCUCUAGCAACCAACGGUCAUUCGGAGUGUUUGCGUUUGCUGAUUGGAAAUGCUGACCUCCAGAGUGCAGCGGACAUUCAAGACGGGAAUAGUCACUUGGGUUUUGGAUACAAUUCCUGAAAUAAAGAGAUUUUGAAACUGGGGCUGCAUCCCAAAUGGCAACCUAUACCCUACUUGGUACAGUACUUUAAACCAAAGUCCUAUGGGCUCAGGUCAAGAGUAGUGUACCAUAUAGGGAAUAGGUUGCCAUUUGGGACUCAGCCUGGUUAUUACCAGUUUGUAAUAUGACCUGUUGUCUUGUGUAUCAGAACCCCUCUGACGCUGUCGGUGCUGAGCGGACACACAGACUGUGUGUACUCACUGUUUCAACAAGGGAGCCAGCGUAGAAGCCAAAGACAAAUGGCACAGAACAGCUCUACACAGAAGGGUUGCGAGGAGAGUUGGCUGUACGCGCUCACACACAGAAAGAGAGGGGGAGGCUUGUUCUGAUCUAGGGAUGGGGCCAUUGAACUACUAGGGAUGGCUUUGGUGUGGGAUCUAGCAUGGAAUAUGAAUUAUGCCCAAAUAUACCUAUUAUGAUUCCUUAUUAUUUAAUUGAUUAUAAAUUAUUCAAAUCCAUUCUUGCCUCCCCUCCCUUCCCUUCCUCCUAGGCGGUGACGGGUCACGAGGAGUGCAGCACAGCGCCAGCUUCCUGGUUCGGGAAGGUAAGGUGCGGAGCCAUGUCCACCUGGUGGCGUUGUCCGGACACAUCGGGGUGCUGGGGUGGCUCCUACACACCGCCCAGUCAGUGUGGACCCUCCCCGUCAUCACAGACAACCAGGGCUACACGCCACUACACUGGGCCUGCUACAACGGUACGUACUGGACAGAGGGACAGCGAAGUGGGCCAGAGGCCACAAACAAAUACACACAUAAACACAGCGUUGCUUAAAUCACCACAGCCAGCUUCGGGAGGGCAGGAACCAAGCCAUCCGCACAGGAACCUUAAGAGUCCCUCAGACAGUGAGAGAGAAGAGGGAGGGAUAGGGGGAAGCACAACAGGCCCACACUCAUCCUCUCGUACCACCAGGUUCCCUUCCAGCAGAUACUGGACUUCAGAGGAACUGCUGCUGCUAUACCCCAUCUUUACCUUUACCCACAAAGGUCCUAAACGGUAGAAACCUGCGUUUCGGCAUUUUCAAAACCUGUUUUGAGUAUAGAAAUUGGGCUGAGUGUUUGUGCUGAGAAAAGACAUAAGGAGUGAUGUUUCAUUUAAGUUUCAUGAGAGUGAUUGUCAUGUUUAUCCGCACACUAAGACAGUCAGAACUUACCUAGCCUCUUGUCUGUAAUCCAUGUGGGAGGAGGGGAAAUCAUACAUUUUGUAUGAACAAAUAUUUUUAUAAAAUCAUUCAUGUCUUAAGAAAAUUGUACCAUUAAAAAAUUGUACCAUUUGCUCUGAUGAGUAAUUGUAAAGAUUUAAUGCAUCCCAAAUGGAACCCUAUACUGAAUAGUACACUACUGUUGAACAGGGUCCAUAGGGUUCUGGUCAAAAGCAGUGCCAUUUAGGAUGCUGGUAUGUGAGCAACACGACUAUUUGAAGGGACCUAUUACAUUAUUAAACCUACCUGUCCUUUGGCCUCUAGAAAGUAUUUUAGAAAGUUAAUAAUUAAUUCAUGUUUUCUUUCUUGUGAUAUUUGUCAUUUUGUGCCUUUGUUAGUUACUGAGGGGAGGUUAGGAGAGUAGGGGCACCUGUAUGAGCGACAACAAUGAUGCACACUAAGUACUACAACGUUUGUGAAAAGCACUGAUACUAUCCAGAGGCAUGUGAGGUGGAAAACAUGUCUCCCUUGGAGAGGAGAAACAUUGUAAACCAAUGGUAGGACAGCAGCAUUUAGAUUUUCUUCUGUUGGAAAAUAAAUAUCGAUAUUAUUUGUCUUUGGUCUUAUAAUCAAUGUUUUUUAACAGGUGUUGCUUGCUUUAACUUCUUCAAAAAAUGAAACCACUCAAUCCUUGUAUGUGAUUGAAUGUUCAUAUCCCCGUUUUUGUCUCUUUUUGAAAAUCAUUUUAACUGGAAAUAUGUGCAAUACAUUUGCUAUGUUCACCAAAUCAGCAACAAGAGAGUCACAGGUUCACAGGUUUUUCGUGUCAUUAUCAUUCUUUUAAACGGAUGAAACUAGCAUGUACAUAUGAAAUGGUGACUGAAUUCGAAACUCCCAUGAAUUCUUUCAGUAUCUGAAGUUUGCUGUAUAUUUUAUGAGUAAUAAAUGUUAUUUAAUGAUGAA
This is a non-coding RNA of Oncorhynchus mykiss (rainbow trout), 3708 nucleotides long. NCBI's taxonomy places the organism in Eukaryota, Metazoa, Chordata, Actinopteri, Salmoniformes, Salmonidae. The record is from RefSeq and is a predicted model, not a curated record.